CCUAUACUCCCUCCAUCCGAAAAUAUUUGUCAUAGAAAUUGAUCUAUCUAGGUGUAUUUUAGUUUUUGAUACAUCCAUUUGUAUCCAUUUGUGCGACAAGUAUUUUCAGACGGAGGGGGAUUAUAAU
RNAcentral lists this microRNA precursor (127 nucleotides) under Hordeum vulgare. RNAcentral describes it as "microRNA MIR1122". It matches the Rfam family "MIR1120/MIR1122 microRNA precursor family". Lineage: Eukaryota; Viridiplantae; Streptophyta; Magnoliopsida; Poales; Poaceae. The record is from RNAcentral.